Sinocyclocheilus anshuiensis is the source of this 110-nucleotide ribosomal RNA. The record is from Ensembl. NCBI's taxonomy places the organism in Eukaryota, Metazoa, Chordata, Actinopteri, Cypriniformes, Cyprinidae.
UUUGGGAGUUUUCCCAUUCAUAACCCAACAAGAAAAUUCAUUCAAGCAGGGCUGAGCCUGGUCAGUACCUGGAUGGGCGACCUCCUGGGAAAACUAGGUUGCUGCUGGAA